CUGCGGAGGGAUCAUUACAAGUGACCCUGGCCUCCGGGCCGGGAUGUUCAUAACCCUUUGUUGUCCGACUCUGUUGCCUCCGGGGCGACCCUGCCUUCGGGCGGGGGCCCCGGGUGGACAUAUCAAACUCUUGCGUAACUUUGCAGUCUGAGUAAAUUUAAUUAAUAAAUUAAAACUUUCAACAACGGAUCUCUUGGUUCUGGCAUCGAUGAAGAACGCAGCGAAAUGCGAUAAGUAAUGUGAAUUGCAGAAUUCAGUGAAUCAUCGAAUCUUUGAACGCACAUUGCGCCCCCUGGUAUUCCGGGGGGCAUGCCUGUUCGAGCGUCAUUUCACCACUCAAGCCUCGCUUGGUAUUGGGCGACGCGGUCCGCCGCGCGCCUCAAAUCGACCGGCUGGGUCUUCUGUCCCCUCAGCGUUGUGGAAACUAUUCGCUAAAGGGUGCCACGGGAGGCUACGCCGUAAAACAACCCCAUUUCUAAGGUUGACCUCGGAUCAGGUAGGGAUACCCGCUGAACUUAAGCAUAU
Molecule: ribosomal RNA, 525 nt
Filed under: fungal endophyte sp. P503B
Lineage: Eukaryota; Fungi
Description: eukaryotic LSU rRNA
Rfam family: 5.8S ribosomal RNA (bases 174-327)
Source: RNAcentral